RNAcentral lists this ribosomal RNA (253 nucleotides) under uncultured bacterium. RNAcentral's name for it is "partial 16S ribosomal RNA". It matches the Rfam family "Bacterial small subunit ribosomal RNA", at positions 524 to 776 of the family's 1533-position model. The record is from RNAcentral.
UACGUAGGGUGCAAGCGUUAAUCGGAAUUACUGGGCGUAAAGCGUGCGCAGGCGGUUAUGUAAGACAGGGGGGAAAUCCCCGGGCUUAACCUGGGAACUGCAUUUGUGACUGCAUAGCUAGAGUACGGUAGAGGGGGAUGGAAUUCCGCGUGUAGCAGUGAAAUGCGUAGAUAUGCGGAGGAACCCCGAUGGCGAAGGCAAUCCCCUGGACCUGUACUGACGCUCAUGCACGAAAGCGUGGGGAGCAAACAGG